RNAcentral lists this small RNA (78 nucleotides) under Flavobacterium xinjiangense. RNAcentral describes it as "Flavo-1 RNA". It matches the Rfam family "Flavo-1 RNA". Lineage: Bacteria; Pseudomonadati; Bacteroidota; Flavobacteriia; Flavobacteriales; Flavobacteriaceae. The record is from RNAcentral.
GUUUUGCGCGAGGGAUGGAAGUGACAUCCUUUUAUGAAACCUGCGGAAUAAAAGAUACAACGAACAGCCCGACCAGGA